CCUACGGGAGGCAGCAGUGAGGAAUAUUGGUCAAUGGGCGAGAGCCUGAACCAGCCAAGUAGCGUGAAGGAUGACUGCCCUACGGGUUGUAAACUUCUUUUAUAAGGGAAUAAAGUGCGGUACGUGUGCCGUUUUGUAUGUACAUUAUGAAUAAGGAACGGCUAACUCCGUGCCAGCAGCCGCGGUAAUACGGAGGGUCCGAGCGUUAUCCGGAUUUAUUGGGUUUAAAGGGAGCGUAGGUGGGUUGUUAAGUCAGUUGUGAAAGUUUGCGGCUCAACCGUAAAAUUGCAUUUGAUACUGGAUGUCUUGAGUACAGUAGAGGUAGGCGGAAUUCGUGGUGUAGCGGUGAAAUGCUGAGAUAUCACGAAGAACUCCGAUGGCGAAGGCAGCUUACUGGACUGUAACUGACGUUGAUGCUCGAAAGUGUGGGUAUCAAACAGGAUUAGAUACCCCAGUAGUC
RNAcentral lists this ribosomal RNA (460 nucleotides) under uncultured bacterium. RNAcentral's name for it is "partial 16S ribosomal RNA". It matches the Rfam family "Bacterial small subunit ribosomal RNA", at positions 338 to 795 of the family's 1533-position model. The record is from RNAcentral.